Long non-coding RNA from Oreochromis aureus, 1755 nucleotides. The record is from Ensembl. Lineage: Eukaryota; Metazoa; Chordata; Actinopteri; Cichliformes; Cichlidae.
GUAAACUUUCACUUCACUGGAAAAAUUUGACAUCACUUCAAACGUAAAAUGAAACUUUAUCCGUCACUGUGGAGAAUUUAGAGCACAAAGGCACAAAUGGUACCCGGACUCACUGGGAUCUGACCAGUUGAUGGUUUAGAUAAUUUUUUUUUUAAACUACCAAAGUUAUUAAAGUUUAAACUUUAUCACAGUUUGAAAAUUGUGUUUGAGGCUGCUAACAGAUAAAUAAUAAAUGAGACAUCAUCGUUACUGACAAUAACCUGCAGGUAACAACAACAUUACAACAAAGUUAAGCAGCACGCAGCUUUACCACCUGGGUCUGUUUAUCUGCAUUAAAGAGAAAUGCAGGAAGUGUCUCUGGACAUGAGAAGUCCCGAAAUGUCCCCAGAGAGUGUGGGGUCCCCUCAUGGGCUGCGAGGUCUCGCAUUUGAGCCAUCAGAGGUCAUUUAAUGUCAAUAAAUUAUUUCUUUUCCACUUAAUUGAAAUUCUGAAGUCUGUAAAACUUUGAAAUCCACAGGAAUAUAUCAUUUUUAAAAGUCACAUCUUUUAUACUUUAGAGGACAAGGUGCCCAACUCCUCUGGGAUCAGGUCCAAAGUCAAGCAGAUGUUUCUAUUAUAGAGGCCUUUUCGACUUCGCAGGGUUUAAAUAGUGUCUUCAUUUCUGGACCUGUGAUUCAUCCUGAAACUCCACGUUAUCAUUAUCACUUUAUAUUAAUAUGUGAAGGAAAGCUGUGGUGGUUUGGCUGGAUCUCCCUCUGGAGACCACAAAGCGUCAAACUGUUUUCACCUGCAGUCUUACUGAGUUUACUUGAAGAGCUCAGUGAACAAACUCAAACUUAUUGAGAAACACACACACACAUUCUCGUUUUCAUGUUUUGUUUGUGAGGACAUCUAAUUUACAUAAUGCUUUCCCUAGCUGCUAACCCUAACCAUCAGAUAUGAAUGUCUAAUCCUAACCCUCAGCCUGAACCAUAACUAUAACUAUAACCUAACUGUAACCCUGACUCUAAAACCACAUUUUGAUUCUCAAAAAUGCCUUCAGACUUGUGAGGACGGCCACUUUUGUCCUCAUAAGUCACUGUUGGUCCCCACAAGUUUAGUAAUGUUCCAAUUUUUGGUCCCCACAAAGCUGUCUAGACGGGUACACACACACAAAUACACAGCUUGUGAGCAGCAGGGGGCAGCAGACCCACAGUAGACACCCUGUGCUGCUGGUUACGUCAUACUGUUGUUUAUCGUCCUCUGUGUUGUCAUGAAUAGACUACCCGUCUACCCCCCUCCCUCGAGGGAGAUAACCGGGUAGUCCUCCAUGGAGGAUGCCACCACCACCACCAUCUGCUCCUGGAUCUUCCAAACAAACCGGCCUCAAUCAGCCCGACUCGGCCCACACCUCCCUGCAGAGCUGCGUUCUCUGCCCCCUCUGAGAUGAGACAGCGUACAGGGUGGAGGUAGAGAACUUGUCCCACUGCUGCAAAGAGAAUAACCUGAAGCUGAACGUCUCAUAAUGGACGUCAGCAGGCACAGACAGGUCCACUCAACUCUCACUGUAAAUGGAGAACAGGUGGAAUAUGAUCUCACCUGGAGUAGCGCUGGGCCAUAUCAUACCGUUCACGGUAAACCAGGCCCAUUACAGGUGAGCCCUGGCAUCCCCGCCCACCGCCUGUUUGACCCGGUGCACCUCAGUCAGGUCCACACCUCCAGACUCACUAACAGCUUCAUCCCCUGGGCCAUCAGACUGCUAACAAACCCCACCCC